AACGAACGCUGGCGGCAGGCCUAACACAUGCAAGUCGAGCGGACAUCUUCGGAUGUUAGCGGCGGACGGGUGAGUAACGCGUGGGACGUUGCCUUUGCCUCCGAAUUCCCCCCGGGAAACGGGAGUUAUUACCGGAGGUCCCCUUGGGGGAAAAAUUUAUCCGCAAAGGAACGGCCCCGGGUGGGUUAGGUAGUUGGUUGGGUAAUGGCCUACCAAACCGACGAUCCAUAGCUGGUUUGAGAGGAUGAUCAGCCACACUGGGACUGAGACACGGCCCAGACUCCUACGGGAGGCAGCAGUGGGGAAUCUUAGACAAUGGGGGAAACCCUGAUCUAGCCAUGCCGCGUGAGCGAUGAAGGCCUUAGGGUUGUAAAGCUCUUUCACCGGGGAAGAUAAUGACGGUACCCGGAGAAGAAGCCCCGGCUAACUCCGUG
Molecule: ribosomal RNA, 434 nt
Filed under: uncultured bacterium
Lineage: Bacteria
Description: partial 16S ribosomal RNA
Rfam family: Bacterial small subunit ribosomal RNA
Source: RNAcentral